AGAGUUUGAGUUAUGGCUCAGGAUGAACGCUGGCGGCGUGCUUAACACAUGCAAGUCGAACGGAGUUUUUAAACGGAAGUUUUCGGAUGGAAGUUUAGAAACUUAGUGGCGGACGGGUGAGUAACGCGUGGGUAACCUGCCUCAUACAGGGGGAUAACAGUUAGAAAUGACUGCUAACACCGCAUAAUAUAGCGAAACCGCAUGAUUUUUGCUAUCAAAUAUUUUAUAGGUAUGAGAUGGGCCCGCGUCUGAUUAGCUAGUUGGUGGGGUAAAAGCCUACCAAGGCGACGAUCAGUAGCCGGCUUGAGAGAGUGACCGGCCACAUUGGGACUGAGACACGGCCCAAACUCCUACGGGAGGCAGCAGUGGGGAAUAUUGGACAAUGGGGGAAACCCUGAUCCAGCCGACGCCGCGUGAGUGAAGAAGUAUUUCGGUAUGUAAAGCUCUAUCAGCAGGGAAGAUAAUGACAGUACCUGACUAAGAAGCCCCGGCUAACUACGUGCCAGCCGCCGC
Molecule: ribosomal RNA, 513 nt
Filed under: uncultured bacterium
Lineage: Bacteria
Description: bacterial SSU rRNA
Rfam family: Bacterial small subunit ribosomal RNA
Source: RNAcentral